Molecule: ribosomal RNA, 255 nt
Filed under: uncultured soil bacterium
Lineage: Bacteria
Description: partial 16S ribosomal RNA
Rfam family: Bacterial small subunit ribosomal RNA
Source: RNAcentral
AGGACGAACGCUGGCGGCGUGCUUAACACAUGCAAGUCGAGCGGUAAGGCCUUUCGGGGUACACGAGCGGCGAACGGGUGAGUAACACGUGGGUGAUCUGCCCUGCACUUCGGGAUAAGCCUGGGAAACUGGGUCUAACACCGGAUAUGACCUCCUAUCGCAUGGUGGGUGGUGGAAAGAUUUAUCGGUGCAGGAUGGGCCCGCGGCCUAUCAGCUUGUUGGUGGGGUAAUGGCCUACCAAGGCGACGACGGGUA